Molecule: long non-coding RNA, 120 nt
Organism: Ipomoea nil (Japanese morning glory)
Lineage: Eukaryota; Viridiplantae; Streptophyta; Magnoliopsida; Solanales; Convolvulaceae
Exons: 3
Source: RefSeq, a predicted model, not a curated record
UCGCAUCAGAUUUGAUAUUGAAAUUGCUAGCAACAUUUAGUGUUCCCCUACAAUGAAAUAUUUGAAUGGUGUUUAACAUAUCCUCUAGUAUUUUUGACUUAAAAAUGAAUUUGGAAUUUA